GAUUUAGCCUAAUUCAAAAUCUAAAAUUGCUAAAUCAUUGAAAUCACACUACUAGUUUUCCUCGACUGUAUUCUAACUUAUAUACAUAUUUUAAAGCUUAUCUUCAAGGGACAGUUGUUUAAUUUUGGCCAAAUACAUUUUAAAGACCUGUAACUCUUGAAUAAUGUUCAAUCUUAACAUUUGUGAUUCCUUUUAUCUCGCCUAAUUGCAUAUUUUUUUAAAUAUUGUCAGGUUUUUACACACUGUCUUCAUGUUAUGAUGACGAUUAAAUAAUGGCUUAUGAAGAUAGGGGGUUCAGAAAGUUUUGAUAAUAUGUCUUUAGCUUGAAAAUUAGCAAAGAUAUAAAUUCUCAAAUUCGAAGUGACGCAAUUACUACUGUUCGUAGUAAAGUCAUUUCUAGCCAUUACGAUAGAAGAUUGAUUAACGUAGCUUCCAGUGGUCACUUAGAGAUUAUUCAAUGACAAGGGGGAGUUCAUUUCCAGCGAUAAGGUCUUAAACUCGUUAAACUUGACAGUAGAGAAUUUGAAAGUAAAAAGACUAUAAAGUAUCCCUUUCAGAUCUUGAGAUUUAUAGGGCAGAUGAUGAAAAGGUUACAUGUCUAUGUGGCCCAGGGCUAACAAUGGUGUCACAAGGCCAGUACAACGACUAACCAGCUUUAAUUUUCUCCGACUAAUGUCAGGUACCUUUAGACUUGGGUGGUUUCGGAGGCGCCCUAAAAAUCACGAAAUUCAAAAUCUCAGUCCUUACCGGGAUUCAAACCCGAGGCACAUUGUUUUAAAAGCCAAGCGCCUAACCAGAUUUCAGAGAAUCGGUUAGUAUUUUUGAAUUGUCUGUUUUGAUCAUUUGGUAAGAGUCAUCACUUAGAUAAAAGGACAACAGGGAUGAGUUCAGGUCUAGCAAUAAUGUCUUAAAGUUUACAGUUGUCGGAGACGGUUUGCUGAAGAUCUUUAAGUUAUCUACCGCUGAGGUAACGAGAACUCUUGAAAAUAUUGCACAUAACAAUGAAGUAUAAACUAGUGCAAAAUUGAGUCAGAAGAAUUAACUCCACUGUCAUAGGAGACUGCUAUAAGACUCCUGAGACUUGGUAGCUAGGAUGUACUUCUUAUCGCCUCUGUUAUGCUUCAGCAGACACCUCUUUUGUGACCUUCUUAUGUGCCAUUAUAUUCUUUGUGUUUAGGUUGAAAAUAAUGGAAACAGCCAAUAAAUGCGAAAAAACAUGUUUCACUUUAGUGGUGUGAAUUUAUCUCUUUUGCACCUCAAGGAAGGUUUGAAAUGAGUCCCAUGUUUAACAGUGAUGUGAUUCUCUCACGAAUUAAAUCAAAAACUGAAAAGCUGGUUAGUGAGACAAUUGAGUUACUUGUGGCUGCAAGUGUGUCACUGGAUGGAGCUAAAUUCUAAGUUUGACAUUGACUGGAGCAAAGCUAUUAUUGUGACAUUGGAUGGAGCUAAGCUUUUAGUGUGGCAUUGGUUGGAGCUAAGCUCUAAGUGUGACAUUGACUGGAGCUAGGUUCCAAGUAUGACAUUGACAGAAGCUAGUUUCCAAGCGUGACAAUGACAGGAGCUCUGCUCGAAGUGUGUUAUUUACUGUAGCUAAACUACAAUUGUGACAUUGGCUGGAGUUGGGCUCCAAGUGUGUCAUUUACUUGAACUUUGCUCCACGUGUAACAUUGGACUACAAGUGAUUCAUUUACUGGAGCUAUGCUACAAGUGUGUCAUUGUCUGUAGCUUCGUCUCAGCUUGUUAUUGACUGAAGAUAGGACCAAGGUUGUCAUUGGUUGAAGACAGGGCUGCAGGAGUUUGAUUAACUGUAGGUAUGUUAUUUACUGGAGCAAUGCUACAGGUGUGUAAGUGUGACUGAAGCCUUGCACCAGAAAUGUUAUUGUUUGGAGCUAGAUCUUUGCUUGUCAUUGUCUGGAGCUAGAUUUUUGAUUGUCUUAUACUGAAGCUAGAUCUUUGGUUGUCAAUGACUGGAGCUAGAUCUUUGGUUGUCAUUGACUGGAACUAGAUCUUUGGUUGUCAUUGACUGGAGCUAGGCUCCAUGUAUCUCUUUGACUAGAGCAAAACUUCCGGUGGUGUCAUUAAUAGGAGCUAGGCUCUAGGCAUGUCAAUGAAAAUAGAUAUACUUCUAUGAUAAAAUGCUUCUUUUCACGCAGUGUCCUCUCUACAGUCCAGAAUAACAAAAUAAAUCAUCCUAUCAUUAAAAUGUGUUUUCAGUCUCCAUAUUGUUCACAGAAGCUUCUUUUUUUUUGCCUCCUUUAAAGUCACGUGAUGCUGGCCAUUCCAAGUUUUGAUCAGUUUGCUUUAGGGAAAGAUUACAUUUUCGUAUUUUUUAAUUUUUCAUGUUUCAAAAUUGUCUCUAGGUCUAAACCUUUAGGCAUAUAGUGAGAAAUGGCACUAAAAAAAAUACCGGUAUAAUAAAAACUAUAGUUUUAAAAAAUUUUAAAUAGAAAUUUUAUGCUUGACAAAUGUAUUAUGAUUUGUUAUUGUGGAAAUUGAGCAGCCUUAACAGUAAAAAAAUAUACAUAACAACUUCAAGUAAAAUAACUAUUAAAAAUACGUUAUUGGCGUAAAAAGCAAAAAUAACAUGUAAAAAGACUAGCUUCAAAUAAAG
Non-coding RNA from Biomphalaria pfeifferi, 2611 nucleotides. The record is from the annotation of a GenBank genome assembly. Lineage: Eukaryota; Metazoa; Mollusca; Gastropoda; Planorbidae.